Long non-coding RNA from Peromyscus leucopus (white-footed mouse), 1985 nucleotides. RefSeq lists it as uncharacterized. NCBI's taxonomy places the organism in Eukaryota, Metazoa, Chordata, Mammalia, Rodentia, Cricetidae. The record is from RefSeq and is a predicted model, not a curated record. The transcript is spliced from 5 exons.
AAUUGUCUGUCUGUGAACGAGAAGGAAAAAAAUACGUAUAGUUGUACACUGGACAAAUCUCCUGCAGAGCAACAAGAUUUCCUAGUGGAAAAAUGAUUAAUAAUUCAAAAAUUCCCUUAAUCUUCAGAUUUGUACAUUUUAAUUAAAUUGGAAAUUGCUGACAUGUAAUUAUGUUCUGAGAACAAUUAAAUGAUUCCGGUCCACAAAUUACCUGUUAAAGUAAACAAUGAACUUGUCAUAACUGGCAUUAUCCAUUAGUACCAGGAUGGAUAACACUAUCUAUGUUGUUUCAUUACAUAGAUAUUAAGAUUGAAUAUUUGUGGGAGGAGUGGGAAAAUGACCUAAUUUCUCUAUAUUAAAAGUGUGCAUUAUUUAAUAACUCUCAUUUUUAUACAUAAUUGCAUCAUCUGCUGGGAUUCUAUGCCCUUCCUGAUAUAAUAUCAUGUAAAGUCAUCUACCCCAUUAAAAGAUAGAUGGCCUUUCCUCAGAAUUUUACUAGAAACAGAUACAAACAUAUUAUGAAUGGUUGAAUUCAUUUUUAUUUCCUUCUUAACUAUAUCCCAACUACAAAAACUAUAUGCAAACAAUCCAUUGGAAAUGGAUAUCAUUUUCUGGGUCUUUAAGACAGAGUGAAAUAAAAAAAAUUAAAGUUAUUUAAGUAUUAAUAGUAAAGACAUUGAAAAGCCUGUCUUGUCGUUUUUACUGCUUUCAAACUGACAUGGAUGUCUGCCAACAAGAACUGAAUUCUCCUUGUAUCUUGGAACAGAGUCUUUUGGGAGAAAUAGACUAGAUCUUUCAUAGAUUCCCCUAUACUGUACAUUCACACACGAUACUUCUUCGUGCAGCUGACUCAGUGACAAUGUUUCUCCUGUUUUCUGCAUUCCUUCAUAUCACACAAUUAUGUGCUGGAGCAGCUCUGGGUUAGUACAAGACCAUCCAGCACACAAGUAUCAGACAUGCGAAGCAUGCAAUCCAUGAAACCAGAGGGCCAAGCGGCUGUAGGACUGGCGAGCGAGAGAGAUUUGUCCUGACAAUCAGCAGGCUACGCCACAGGAAAACUUUAACUACACUUAUGGGCUUCAAAGUGACAGUACUCUCAGCUCUGUUACUUCAAAGAACGUGCUGUCUCACAUCAGUGGUGUGUUCUCUUCAUGCUGUGCUUCUUUCCCCCCUUGACAAGGUGAUAAUACCACUGAUCAGCAACCCCCUCCAAGUCCAGUAUUUCCAGUCACCCUCACCUAGAGUAACAAUAAGGACACUAUUAUUACUUUUUGAGAUGGAAAAUACUAUCUGUGCAGCUGACCGAAAAGAAGUUCAUUCACUGAACCUGGAGAUCCCCGAUUCAGCUAGAUUUAAGUGGCCAGCAGUCACCAUCAACUGCCUCGUGUCUGUCUGAAGAGCACUGGGAUUACAGGUUGAUCUGUAAAACUGAGUAUUUUUAAAAUUUAAUUUCAGGAAACCUUUUUGCUGCAUUAAUGCACUUUCUUCUAUAAGGAUAUAUUAAAACUGACUGCAGUAGGAACUGGGGGAGAACACAGACAUUUAAAACAAAAUGAAGCAAGACAAAAAUCAGGAAAACCUGUCAUCAGAAAGGUGUCCCUACCUUUUCCCUUCUUCUCAAUGAGGACUACACAGGACACCUGUUGAGAAGUCUGCGAAACUUAACUUACUUUUUUGUUUUGUUUUGUUUUCUUGAGGUGGGGGCUCAUGUAUCUCAAGCUGUCCUCAAACUUUAUGUUACCAAGAAUGACACAGAACUUCUGACUGAUCUCCAACUUCACCUCCCUACAGCUGGUAUUAAAAGUAUGGGCUUGUCCCUAGUAAACCAAAAUUAACAGUUAUUCUUCAGAAUUUGUAAAAAUUGAUAUAUUAAUAUUAUGUUUUACAUCACCACACAAAAUAAUACACAUAGAAAUAUCUGCAAUGGAAAUGAUGUUAUGUUUAUACAGUAGUCUACCUUACCUACUAAAAAUCUGUGUUCCUAU